AGAGGGAAAAAACAAAACUCCUCCCCCUGGCCGCAUUCCUGGGUAAAUUCGGGCCCUGAUCCUCGGCUUGGACCGAAGGUCUUCACCUUAUCCCCCGGCUGCAGAAUUCUCUUCUUAACGAUCCCAGCUCGUUGCCGUAUCACUGCCUGGCUCAGAAACUUCCCGCGGCUUCCCAACGUCCAAAUUCUUAGCAUUCGAUACGAGCAUUGUAUGUGCUACCUAGACACCAGACUUCACCGGCUGUUUCCAAAAUGUUCAGUACGGACACUGCGACGGGAAACGGCCCUCCCCAGAGAGCAGUCUGGUUCCUCUACAAAUACCGCACCCCUGCCCCUUCUUACACAAUCUGUGGCUGCCACUUGCCGUGGAGCAAGGGACCAGGGCUCCGGACCUGACAGCCAGAUUUCCUGUCGUUGACACCUAAGGCGGUCCAGUGCCUGACGGAUCCAUUUACCCCUGAGCGGAAAACAAGACCAGGGUUUGCGGGGAAAGGAGAUGAGCAGCAGCGCAGCGGGAAGCAGAUGUACCUCGGAAGACCGUCGUGUGACCCAUCGGAGAAAGGGGAGAGCAGACCAUGUCUGCGUCCUGGUGACUUUCCAUCUCCGGCUUCCACAUGGCCCUCCACACCCACAGCGCACCUGCUGUUGCUGGAACUCAGAACUCUCACUGCUGCCUUUCUGCCUUUGUCUUUCGGCCCGUUUCUUCCCCUUGCCUGGAACACCUUCCUCCCAGGUCUACUGGUUGUCAUCUACCAGGUAAUCCUUCCAGGUCCCACAUUUUAUUCCACAACCUGAAGUGACACCUACCUUCUUUUCUUCCCCUUAGCACCAACUGAUCUUUUUUUUUUUUUUUAAUUUCUUAAACGUUUAUUUAUUUUUGAGAGAGAGACAGAGACAGAGCACGAGCAGAGGAGGGGCAGAGAGAGAGGGAGACACAGAAUCCGAAGCAGGCUCCAGGCGCCAAACUGUCCGCACAGAGCCUGACGCCCGACGUGGGCCUCGAACUCACGAACCGCCAGAUCAUGACCUGAGCUGAAGUUGCUCAACCGACUGAGCCACCCAGGCGCCCCCUGACUGAUCUUUUUGUGACCUCGCAUUUAGACUUGGAUUACAGUGAUUGUCAUGUCUUCUGAGACCUCUCAGUUUUCCUUAUAAACCUCAUGAAGUGCUGUACGCAGUAGGUACUCAAUGAAUGUCAGAGUGAAUCAAAUUUGCUGCAACUAAGUGAAGGUAAAAAAAAUAAGCAUUUAACAUUCAAAACUGAAUGCGCAUUUUCUUCGUUUCUCAAACCAUUCCUGAAGACGUUCAAAGAAACAAAUGUUUUGUUCGUAUAACGUAGGGUAGACAAACUCUACAAAGGGCCACGUAAUAACUGUUUUAGGCUUUUGGGGGCCACGUAGAUCUACUGCGUAUUUGUCAUUAUUUUUUGGUUUUUAAAGAAUCAUUUAAAAAUGUAAAACUUGGGGUGUUUGGCUGGCUUUGUCCAUGAAGCAUGCAACUCUUGAUCUUGGGGUCGUGAGUUCAAGCCCCAGGUCGUGUAUAGACAUUACUUAAAAAUAUAUAUUUUGGGGCACCUGGUGGGUCAGCCGGUUAAGCAUGUGACUUUGGCUUAGGUCAUGAUCUCGACAUUCGUGAGUUCCAGCCCCGUGUGGGGCUCUGUGCUGACAGCUCAAAGCCUUAACCUGCUUCGGAUUCUGUGUCUCCCUCUCUCGCUGCCCCUCCCCCUCUCACGCUCUGUCUCCCUCUCCCUCUCUCUCUCUCUCUCAAAAAUAAACAUGAAAAAAAAAUAAAGUUUUUAAAAAAAAAUGUAAAACUCAUUCUUACCUUGCAAGCUGAACAAAACCACAUGUUAUACGUGGUGAUGGAAACUGAUGUAGGGCCACUAAUUGAGGAAUGCCGAAAAUUACAUUUUUCCUCUUCCCCCCAUUUCCCAUAGCCACACCUGUCUCAUUGUUGUCAUGGAAAAAAGCCAGCAAACGUCUACACUACAGAAAGUCGCGAACAGUGAAUUUGGAACCACAUACCUGCCUUUAAAUUGUCAAGUGAGUGGCCUAGUUGAGCCGGUGUUUUCUUAUAAAGGAUUACCUGUCAUUUAGGGGAAAAGCAACCAGGACAGAUCCAAAUCCAUAGGAUCUAUGAAGCAGAGAGUACUUAGUAGCAAGUUAUCGAUGGUAUCCAUUUCGGAAAACAAGUAUGUCUUUAGCUUACUUGUAGAAAACUAAUUUGUGGUCUCUUGGGUUUGGUUUUGUUUUUUUUUUUUUUUUUAAUCAAUUUUUCAUACCAAAUUUACAAGAGAAACAUUGCAUUUUUCUGUCUGAGCGUCCUCAGGCCUGGAGAGAUGUCUAGAUUCUGGCUUCUGAUGUGGGGGCUCCCUUGUACAUGUGGAGCCCAGUCGGUUGUUUAGAGGAACUGACUCAAAGGCUCAGUUCUUGCCUCCCGGCCUCCCAGAUACUCAGUAACAUCUCCAAAUUAAAGCUUUAGAACGUAACAUAAUUUGGAGGUUAGUUACACUGAUGACUUAAUUCAUUAAUGUCGUCUUCCCCUGAAAUGGUUAAUAGAUUUGGUCUAGAAGCCAAGGAGAUAUGAACUCAAAACGGAAAGAUACUUGUUCUUUGCAAGUUCCUAUGUUUUGCUUUACGAAGAGCUAUUCCUUCAUCUGAUGCGCUUCUGCGUAAUAAAAAUAAACCACAUUAUGUAUGUCUUUUAAAAUCCCUGGCUAUGUUUCAUGGAGUGGUUUCCAGCUCUGACAGUUUAUAAUUCAGACAGCAUCUGAAGAAGUUAAUUUCUGGACCUGCGAUGUCAUGCUAACAAAUGGCCACCAGAUGUCAGUCUUUCCUUGUGUUUUUAGACACAAAUGGCCUUUGGAACCACAUUUAAGGUUCUAUUUGUGUGGCGUCCUCAGUGGAAGGCACUUUUCAGGGAGCAUCUGCCCCCUCACAGUCCAUCACGCAUGGUCCUAAGCUCCCUUUGCUCUGGUGUCACUUACUGUCCUGGGUUACGGCAGCGACUUGUCCCCACGGGCCACUACUCGGCCCCGGGCCCUCGCUUAGAGCCCAGCUCCCACCCUCGAAGUGAUGCAGAGUUGGGGGGAAACGCGGCCGCUUCCUGGAAGAUGGAGCUCGCUCAGAAAGCCGAAGAAUCCAUUUCUCAAGACAAGCAUCAUUGGGAGGAGAACGCAGAACCCAUGUGAGCGUUAGUGAUGAAGCAUGACUUUAAAGGACUUUCACGGUUGUAUAAUCCUUCCCACGGGAGUUCAGGCUCACUCCCCUCGUGGGGUGUUCUGUGAACACCAGGCAGCAGUGAACCGCUUGUCCCGAGUCGCUUCUGGGGAUUUGCAGAGGGAGGUUGGGGUCUCGGGGGCAAGGGAGAGAGGCUUCCCUCAGGGAGGGCUGGUGGGCGGGGUGCGACCCACCCACCCCAAAGGAGAGGGAGGGAAGGAGGGAGGGGGCUGUGGGAUGGCCCACCCCAAGCCAGGCACGUGCCCUGGUGUCAUUCCAAGGGGACCCACUCCUGAGGCUGUGGGAGGUGGGGCGCGCGGGGAGUGAGCCGCGCUUUCGCGGGCGGGGGACAAAAGGUGAGGGUUUUCUGCCCACUGGAUAUCGUGGGCCUGUUGGUGGAAGCCGCCGGGGACCCAGAGGGCGGCCCGAGGGAGGCAAGCUGCCUGGCAGGUGUUCCCGAUGCCACGGCCAAGGCAGAGUGGAAGCAGGCAGCCGGACGCCCAACGUGGCUCCUCCGCCACCAGCCACCGUCAGAAGCACUGCCGCUGGGAAGGGUCCGCUUGGGCCCCCUCCUGGGUCUUGUACCAGCCGCAGGGCAGGGCAGCGGCUCGACAGCGUCAGGUUUUCCGAGGCAUUCGAGAACCCCCCGGCCCCCCCGGCCCCUGGCGUGCAACUACCUUCUCCCGGUUGACUGUCAGCAGCAGGGGCCUGGCCCAGAAGACCCUCUGUGCUCCUCACUUGCCCCCCCAGGGGGCGGAGAGGAGCCCCAGGGCACUGAGGGGUAGGGAGCUCCCGCCUCCCAGCCCCGCCCCUCCCCUGCUACCCGCCCCGCGGGACUGGGACCCUUGAGCUGGGCCUGCUGGGCUCCCGCUGCUGGGGACCCGCAGACUCUGCCCAGAGGCUGCUCCGCAGCGGUGGGAGGAGGGAGAAGGGCCUCGGCCUCCCUUUUCGUACUGGCGGAUUCCAGGCCCUGUCGGUGUCUCUGCCUCGCUUUGCCCUGGGCCACAUCUGAGUCCUCGGAGAGUCCCUUCCCAGCCCCACAGGGCCCCUCCUCCCACUUCUGAACCUGAGCUCCAGGGGACGUCCUCCAGGCGUCCGUUCUUGCAGAUUCUGUCCUUUGCCCGGGGUCGCCUGCAGCCUGCGGGGUGGCAGGUGCCUCUGGCAGCACCGAGGUCCCCGUCCUGAAAGGAGGGGACUCCCCCCCCCCAACAGCCUGCUUGUCCACGUCGCACUCUGACCCCGAGCUGAGCAGCCUGUGAACCCAAGUCACCGCAGAACCAACCACGAGGGACCGAAACUUCUCCUCCGCCUGGAGGGCCCAGGCCCCGGCUGCAGCAGAGGAAAAGCCUGCCAGGCCUCCCCUAACCCUAACCCCUCCCCCUCCCCCACCCCGCCAGGCCUCCCCCUCCCCCAGCCUCCCUGGGGCAUCCGGGCACAGGCUGGAGCUCGGCCGGUGGGAGAAGUCAAGCCCAAGACAGGAGGUGAGCGGCCAGCAAGCUGUGCUGGGCUUCGUGUGGACGGAGACGCCUGCGAGGCCACGGGCCCAACACGGGGUCCGGGGUACCAGGGGCCCCAGACCGCCCGCGCCGUGGGGACCGGCGACAGAGAGCUCGGUCAGUGGAAUGGCUUCGCGGUGGCCCUGCCCAGGGUUGUUCUUGCUCACCUGCUGCACUUGUGCGGACCCUGCGGUCACCGCCCUCCCUCCUCUGCCCCCCCGGGCCGUGCCUCGAAGGGGGCUCCAGGCACCUGGCUGCGCGGCCUGCACAGGACGCCCCUCUGGGCCGCCACUGAGGGGCGGUGCCGGGCGUCCCGGUGGCGGCUCCUCCCCUGGGAGUCUCCUUGGUGCUGCCGUGCAGGCCUUGGUGCCUCGUCCCCUUGUCUGAUUUGGCUGUCCUCCCCGCUCGGCCCCCUCGCCUCCCCACAUGGCCGAUCACCUGCGGGCCUGCUGGUGCCACGUCCCCGCCGUCCAGCUCCCCUCCGCGGCCGCCACUACCAUCCGGGGACCGGCAGCCCCUGGACGGCCCGGGAGCCCCCCCCACAGCCAGCUCCCGCCCUUUGCCACCAGCCGAGAUCGGUGUCCAGCUGUCCGUGAGGACGACACCGCCGACAGGAGAGAGGCGGACAGGCUCUGGGUCGAUGCACCGUCUCCCUCUCCGCCAGAAACAGGAUUGGGACUCCUCUCCACCGUCGCCAAGGCUCCCCGGGCUCCGGUCCGGGCCAUGCUUCGUGCCACGUGACCCCACAGUCCUCCGGAUCUGGCCGGCCCUCUGCCUCACCCGGUCUCAGCCCAGGUGUUACCUGCUCAGACCUUCCAGGCCCCUGUGUCCCCCCCCCCCCCCCCCCCGCCACACAUGGCUCCUGCGUCUUCCUUCCCCACAGUAGCCCCGUUCUCCCAGGAGGAAGAUGAAUGUGAGAUGUGAAGGGGCCUGGCUGUGUCCACGCCGGGCCUCGUCCGCUGUCCUCCCUGGACCAGGGGCGGAGGGGCAGCCGCCUCCCCAGCCCCUCUCCGCCUCCCCCAGCUCUUCUCCGUCUUACGCGCUUCCUGCAAACGUACCUUAACAGGGGCCUCUUCCCUGCUCACCUCCAGGUGCCCUGAGACCAGACCCAGAGACCACGCUUCGUCCACCUUCUUUCUUCCCUUCCCCGGCACUCGUUCAUCACGCGGCAAACGUCGCCGGAUGACCGCGUGCGCCAGGCACACGGCGCCUCGGGGAGGGGAGGCCGGACACGGCCCUGCCCUCGGGCCGCUCGCUCCCCGGCUUCCUGCGCAGCCCCUUUGUCUGCUUGGACCCUCCUCAGCGACUCGCUCCUUCCAGGCGCCCGCACCCCAGGCCCAGCCAGCUUCCAGCACCUUCCAGCGCCAAGACCUGCUACGCGAUUUGCGUGGCCCAGUGCAAGAUGAAAACGCCAGGCCCUGUGUUCAAACGUACUGAGGCUUCGAAGGCACCGACAGCAAAGCGUGAGAACGAGAGCGGAGGGGGCACCGCACGCCCAGGGAAGCUCCCUGCCAGCGGCGUCCUGGCCACACCCCUCCCGGCCCCCUCGCCUGCAGGGACAGGCCUCCUCCCAGUCCAGAGUCACAGAGUCACCCCACCCUCGCCCUCAGACUCUGCGCACUGAAGGGGCGCUUUGCCUCUAAUGGCCCAGCCCUCCCUGUUCUAGGCACGUCCAUCCGGCCGGUCCACGGGCACCGACCCAUAUCACCCUCACCAAACUCGGAUUCCAGGUCUCACAUUGCCCUUUCUGUCUGUCCGUCCAGGCCCUUCGUGAUUCCGGUUACACAGCAGCUCUCCUGCCC
Molecule: long non-coding RNA, 6515 nt
Filed under: Lynx pardinus (Iberian lynx)
Lineage: Eukaryota; Metazoa; Chordata; Mammalia; Carnivora; Felidae
Source: RNAcentral